GACGAACGCUGGCGGCGUGCUUAACACAUGCAAGUCGAACGAUGAAGCCGGAGCUUGCUCCGGUGGAUUAGCGGCGAACGGGUGAGUAACACGUGAGCAAUCUGCCCUUGACUCUGGGAUAACUGCGGGAAACUGUAGCUAAUACCGGAUACGACACCUUGGGGCAUCCCAGGGUGUGGAAAGAAUUUCGGUCAAGGAUGAGCUCGCGGCCUAUCAGCUAGUUGGUGAGGUAAUGGCUCACCAAGGCGACGACGGGUAGCCGGCCUGAGAGGGUGACCGGCCACACUGGAACUGAGACACGGUCCAGACUCCUACGGGAGGCAGCAGUGGGGAAUAUUGCACAAUGGGUGAAAGCCUGAUGCAGCAACGCCGCGUGAGGGAUGAAGGCCUUCGGGUUGUAAACCUCUUUUAGCAGGGAAGAAGCGAAAGUGACGGUACCUGCAGAAAAAGCACCGGCUAACUACGUGCCAGCCGCCGCGGUAA
This 483-nucleotide ribosomal RNA is filed under the name uncultured bacterium. Its description in RNAcentral is "partial 16S ribosomal RNA". It matches the Rfam family "Bacterial small subunit ribosomal RNA", at positions 28 to 523 of the family's 1533-position model. The record is from RNAcentral.